AGAAGCCCUAAUGAAACCAGACAGGGUUUGGCUAAGCAGCUGCUGUGCUCCUUUGGGUUUGUACUGGGUAAGAGUCUGGCACAGCUGGCCACAACUGUAAAUUUUGUAACACUGCUGUGAUCCUGUGACCAAAAGAAGGCAGCUAAAAGCAAUGGCCUAAACAGCCUGAUGAAGGUACAAGUUUGCCAGGUCUUGAAAUGACUGAUAAGAAAGCGUGCUGUGCCUAUGUUUUUUCCAGCAGUGAGAUUGCAAGUGAAAAUCAACAGCAGAGACAGAAGCUUCCAGGCAGGAUGACUCACAGAUGUGCCUGCAUCAUCUCUGACUAAAUAAUAUUUAUUCAGUGAACUGACAGAUGUAUCAGUGGAUACUACAAUGAAUUCCAGUGCAAGAGAGGAAGAGUCCUCCACGCCUGUCACUACUUCAGUGUUAAAAAGCAGAGUGUCCUCAUAUGUAAAUCCACAAGAGUAGAAAAAGUUUUGUUGGGCCAUAUAAUCCAACCCUCUGUUAAAAAUUCCUGCACAAAAGACGUCUAUAUAUUUCAUAGCAGAUAAAAUUCUCCACCUUCAGCAAAACUGAAAUACCCGUCUGGAGGAACCCACAAAUAAAACAAGAGUCCAUGAAGACGGCUGACAUGAGUCACCAGGAGCUGGGCUGUUUCUCUUGUGGAAGGCAAGUGAACAAUGGGGAUGAAGUGCACCAUUUUUGUCAAUUGGUUGACCACGAGAAUCUCCAUUAUACUGAAGAGGAAUUUUUGCUACUGAAAUAAUCUAUUUUUGCUAUUUAAAUAAUUCUAGCCUUGCAUCUAGAACUUGUGGGGCAGGGAGAGGGUUAAAAUAAACUGCAAACCCCAGCCAUAUUGUAGCAAAAAUAAAUAAAUCAUCCAGAAAAUGAAACUUUACAUAGCAAAACUAUAUAAUUUUUAGUGAUGAGGGAGUGGUGAGUACAA
This is a long non-coding RNA of Mauremys reevesii (Reeves's turtle), 946 nucleotides long. RefSeq lists it as uncharacterized. The transcript is spliced from 7 exons. Lineage: Eukaryota; Metazoa; Chordata; Testudines; Geoemydidae. The record is from RefSeq and is a predicted model, not a curated record.